RNAcentral lists this unclassified non-coding RNA (279 nucleotides) under Hevea brasiliensis (rubber tree). The record is from RNAcentral. Lineage: Eukaryota; Viridiplantae; Streptophyta; Magnoliopsida; Malpighiales; Euphorbiaceae.
AAAAAAGAGACUCGUACAUUGCGAUCUUGAUUAUUAUCUCCCACGAAAACUGAACUUAGUAUUUUCGACACGAAGAAUAUAAUAAACAUUCCUAUGAUGAAGUCAUUAAAAGCUCUUCUAAUAAUUCAACUCCCAAGUCUUGAAAAACAAAAACAUUUUCCAAAUUCUCAUUCUUCUUCUUUCUACUACUUCUCUUGUGCUUGACUCUUCUAGUUUUAUGAGUAGCUUUUAAAACAGCAGCUGGAGAUAAUCCAUCUUUACAAGAAUACUCAAUAUUUU